This 252-nucleotide ribosomal RNA is filed under the name uncultured bacterium. Its description in RNAcentral is "partial 16S ribosomal RNA". It matches the Rfam family "Bacterial small subunit ribosomal RNA", at positions 524 to 776 of the family's 1533-position model. The record is from RNAcentral.
UACGGAGAAUGCGAGCGUUAUCCGGAUUUAUUGGGUUUAAAGGGUGCGCAGGCGGAUUUUUAAGUCAGCGGUCAAAUCGUGGGGCUCAACCCCAUCCAGCCGUUGAAACUGGGGAUCUAGAGUGUGCGAGAGGUAUGCGGAAUGCGUGGUGUAGCGGUGAAAUGCAUAGAUAUCACGCAGAACCCCGAUUGCGAAGGCAGCAUACCGGUGCACAACUGACGCUCAGGCACGAAAGCGUGGGUAUCGAACAGG